UCAGCUGGUGUGUGAGGGACAGUCGCGAUGAGGACCCACCUCACGUUUUCGGCCAAACCUUCUCCACAAAGUUUGAAGUCCCUUUUUAAUCUCAUCAGUAAAAAUCAUGAGCUGGCACCAUGACUCGGAAUCAGAUCUUAACCCUGAGGGGAGGUGGGGAGGGGGUCGACGAAGUUUAGGCAGUGAGAAAAAUAGGGGUGACUAAUAAUAGCCUCCACUAACAAAAGAGAAUGAGAGAGGAUGAGAUGACGCGAGGUGCGGUUAAAUAGAGGGGAACCCAAAUUGCUCUUCGCAUCUCUGAUCGUGUCCAUCGUUUAGUGAUCACAUCUUCUUUGCCUCUUCUGUCACCGGGGGAUUCCAUCAUCAGGAUGCCGGAGCAUUUGUGAGUGA
Long non-coding RNA from Hippocampus zosterae (dwarf seahorse), 390 nucleotides. RefSeq lists it as uncharacterized. Lineage: Eukaryota; Metazoa; Chordata; Actinopteri; Syngnathiformes; Syngnathidae. The transcript has 2 exons. The record is from RefSeq and is a predicted model, not a curated record.